CUCAUUUACCAUACGUUUGUCCCCU
This 25-nucleotide small RNA is filed under the name Arabidopsis thaliana (thale cress). Its description in RNAcentral is "ATSL123890". The record is from RNAcentral. Lineage: Eukaryota; Viridiplantae; Streptophyta; Magnoliopsida; Brassicales; Brassicaceae.